GGUGUGUAGGCCUCUGUGGCUCAGUUGGCUAAGUCGUGAGUGCUGUGGAGCAGAAGGUGCUUGGAUCAAAACCCAGAAGGAGUGGCGUGGUUGGAGUUUGAGGGAUUGAGAGCAUGGAGGUGAAGGAUUGGGUGAGUGAGUGUCUGGUGCUCUAGCAGUUGUAGGUUGGGAGAUAGGUUGAGGAAGGGGUAGAGGAUUGGGUGAGUGAGUGUCUUGUGCUCUAGCAGUGGUAGGUUGGGAGAUUGGUUGAGGAAGGGGUUGAGGAAGGGGUAGAGGAUUGGGUGAGUGAGUGUCUGGUGCUCUAGCAGUUAUAGGUUGAGGAAGGGGUUGAGGAUUGUCAAGUCACUUGUAGAAGUGGUGGAGUACAGAUGAGGGAUGUUCACUCAAGGGUGAGAGAGGGAGGACUAGGUUGGGUGUAAAAGAGAGGUUGAGUGGGUAUGAGCUCAGGAUGUGGUGGAGCAAGGUUGUGCUGUGAAGGAGGUAGGAGAGUGCACACCCUACAGUGCAGACCAAGAAUGUGUGGUGAGGGGUGUGCACUGGGGGCUGGUGGAGAGGAAGAGCCAGGCCUCACUUUUAUAAAAGGAAAUUACCCUGCUACAGCCCUAAUAGUAAUAAUAUAUUCUUAAAUGGCUUGGGAUCACAGGGUCUACUAAUAGGAAGAAUAAAUGUAAUAUCUACAGCUCCACUGCUGGCUCUCACACACCCCACUUCCUGAGACUCUACCUCUAUUCCUUUCCUACACCUAUCCCCCAGCUCCCUUCCCCUGGGUACACAGCCCCUGACUUUUUAGCCACACUCUCUGUUUGCUCUCCAGGCUGUGCACCCAGCUCUUCUUGGGACUCCACCUCUACCCUCCUCCCUACACCAGCUCCCCUGAGGUACCUGACACUCUACCUCCAACCACCACCUUCCUGCACCCAUCUAGCCUCCACCCACUUACAACUCCUCCUGGAACACCACCUACAACCACCAGAGUACCCUUCCUACACCAUUCACCCCACCACUACCACCACCACUACUACUACUACUACCACUGUAGCCUUCCUACACCCAUCCCCCAGCCUACACACUCCAACCAUCCCCACAUUUUCUAUAAGCCAAGAACUCUUGUUGGGUUUUGAUCCAAGCACCUUCUGAUCCACAGAGGCAACCACUCAACCAGUUGAGCCACAGAGUCUCUCAGAUAGCGCUGCUUCCAUCACACCUUCAUACUGCUUCACACUGCUUUUAUUCUUAAAAGUGCUGCUCCUGCCAAGAGGAGGGUUAGAACCUGCACAAAUAAC
Ictalurus punctatus (channel catfish) is the source of this 1283-nucleotide long non-coding RNA. Lineage: Eukaryota; Metazoa; Chordata; Actinopteri; Siluriformes; Ictaluridae. The record is from Ensembl.